Molecule: small nucleolar RNA, 90 nt
Organism: Acomys russatus (golden spiny mouse)
Lineage: Eukaryota; Metazoa; Chordata; Mammalia; Rodentia; Muridae
Product: small nucleolar RNA SNORD116
Exons: 1
Source: RefSeq, a predicted model, not a curated record
UGAAGGUGAUUCCCAGUCAAAUGUUCUUUUGGGGAGUGGAACAAAAUGAGUGAAAAAUAAGUACCACCACUCUCAUUGGUACUAAGUUCU